Molecule: ribosomal RNA, 711 nt
Filed under: Vreelandella aquamarina
Lineage: Bacteria; Pseudomonadati; Pseudomonadota; Gammaproteobacteria; Oceanospirillales; Halomonadaceae
Description: bacterial SSU rRNA
Rfam family: Bacterial small subunit ribosomal RNA
Source: RNAcentral
GCAGUCGAGCGGUAACAGAUCCAGCUUGCUGGAUGCUGACGAGCGGCGGACGGGUGAGUAAUGCAUAGGAAUCUGCCCGAUAGUGGGGGAUAACCUGGGGAAACCCAGGCUAAUACCGCAUACGUCCUACGGGAGAAAGGGGGCUCCGGCUCCCGCUAUGGGAUGAGCCUAUGUCGGAUUAGCUAGUUGGUGAGGUAACGGCUCACCAAGGCGACGAUCCGUAGCUGGUCUGAGAGGAUGAUCAGCCACAUCGGGACUGAGACACGGCCCGAACUCCUACGGGAGGCAGCAGUGGGGAAUAUUGGACAAUGGGGGAAACCCUGAUCCAGCCAUGCCGCGUGUGUGAAGAAGGCCCUCGGGUUGUAAAGCACUUUCAGCGAGGAAGAACGCCUAGCGGUUAAUACCCGCUAGGAAAGACAUCACUCGCAGAAGAAGCACCGGCUAACUCCGUGCCAGCAGCCGCGGUAAUACGGAGGGUGCAAGCGUUAAUCGGAAUUACUGGGCGUAAAGCGCGCGUAGGUGGCUUGAUAAGCCGGUUGUGAAAGCCCCGGGCUCAACCUGGGAACGGCAUCCGGAACUGUCAAGCUAGAGUGCAGGAGAGGAAGGUAGAAUUCCCGGUGUAGCGGUGAAAUGCGUAGAGAUCGGGAGGAAUACCAGUGGCGAAGCGGGCUUCUGGACUGACACUGACACUGACGUGCGAAAGCGUGGGUA